RNAcentral lists this ribosomal RNA (532 nucleotides) under uncultured organism. RNAcentral describes it as "bacterial SSU rRNA". It matches the Rfam family "Bacterial small subunit ribosomal RNA", at positions 1 to 557 of the family's 1533-position model. The record is from RNAcentral.
GGCUUAGAGUUUGAUCAUGGCUCAGGACGAACGCUGGCGGCGUGCUUAACACAUGCAAGUCGAACGGACCCCGGCAACGGGGUUAGUGGCGGACGGGUGAGUAACACGUGAGCAACCUGCCCUGUACAACGGGAUAACACAGAGAAAUUUGUGCUAAUACGGUAUAAGACCACACGGAGGCAUCUCUGAGGGGUAAAAGCUGAGGCGGUACAGGAGGGGCUCGCGGCCCAUUAGAUAGUUGGUGAGGUAACGGCCCACCAAGUCGACGAUGGGUAGCCGACCUGAGAGGGUGAUCGGCCACAUUGGAACUGAGAUACGGUCCAAACUCCUACGGGAGGCAGCAGUGGGGAAUAUUGGGCAAUGGAGGCAACUCUGACCCAGCAACGCCGCGUGAAUGAAGAAGGCCUUCGGGUUGUAAAGUUCUUUAAUGGGGAACGAAGAAAGUGACGGUACCCCAAGAAUAAGCCACGGCUAACUACGUGCCAGCAGCCGCGGUAAUACGUAGGUGGCAAGCGUUGUCCGGAAUGAAGCC